UCAGGAUGAACGCUGGCGGCGUGCUUAACACAUGCAAGUCGAACGAUGAUCCCAGCUUGCUGGGGGAUUAGUGGCGAACGGGUGAGUAACACGUGAGUAACCUGCCCUUGACUCUGGGAUAAGCCUGGGAAACUGGGUCUAAUACCGGAUACGACCAUCUGGCGCAUGUCAUGGUGGUGGAAAGCUUUUGUGGUUUUGGAUGGACUCGCGGCCUAUCAGCUUGUUGGUGGGGUAAUGGCCUACCAAGGCGACGACGGGUAGCCGGCCUGAGAGGGUGACCGGCCACACUGGGACUGAGACACGGCCCAGACUCUUACGGGAGGCAGCAGUGGGGAAUAUUGCACAAUGGGCGCAAGCCUGAUGCAGCGACGCCGCGUGAGGGAUGACGGCCUUCGGGUUGUAAACCUCUUUCAGUAGGGAAGAAGCGAAAG
Molecule: ribosomal RNA, 431 nt
Filed under: Paenarthrobacter nitroguajacolicus
Lineage: Bacteria; Bacillati; Actinomycetota; Actinomycetes; Micrococcales; Micrococcaceae
Description: bacterial SSU rRNA
Rfam family: Bacterial small subunit ribosomal RNA
Source: RNAcentral